Long non-coding RNA from Mustela lutreola (European mink), 372 nucleotides. RefSeq lists it as uncharacterized. The transcript has 3 exons. The record is from RefSeq and is a predicted model, not a curated record. NCBI's taxonomy places the organism in Eukaryota, Metazoa, Chordata, Mammalia, Carnivora, Mustelidae.
CCAGGCCAAAUCUCCAAAUGAAAUCAGGCCGGGGAGAAAUGAACAACCGAGAUGCACAAAACAAUGUGAAGAAGAAACGAAUAAUAAUAUAAAAAAAAGGCCAGGAAGUGACAGGAUCACCUCUGCUCACAUCCCACGGGCUGGAACACGUCACCUGUCUACCUGCACGACAGGAGGCUGGCAGCGUCGUGCAGCUGAAGGUCCAGGAAGAAAAGGAGAACGCAGAUGAGCCCUGCCCGUCUCCACGGUGCCCUGGUUCACACGGCCGACAACAGCGAAAUCCGUCCUUUGACCCGGGUUCUGACAGCAGCCAGAGUGUUCCUCCUUCAGCCUGAGCAGAUGGGAGAAAUCAUACACUUAAUUAGAUCCCAG